UACGUAGGGUGCGAGCGUUGUCCGGAUUUAUUGGGCGUAAAGAGCUUGUAGGCGGCUCGUCGCGUCGGGUGUGAAAACUUGCGGCUUAACCGCAAGCCUGCACCCGAUACGGGCGGGCUAGAGUUCGGCAGGGGAGACUGGAAUUCCUGGUGUAGCGGUGGAAUGCGCAGAUAUUAGGAGGAACACCGGUGGCGAAGGCGGGUCUCUGGGCCGAUACUGACGCUGAGAAGCGAAAGCGUGGGGAGCGAACAGG
RNAcentral lists this ribosomal RNA (253 nucleotides) under uncultured bacterium. RNAcentral describes it as "partial 16S ribosomal RNA". It matches the Rfam family "Bacterial small subunit ribosomal RNA", at positions 524 to 776 of the family's 1533-position model. The record is from RNAcentral.